UACGGGAGGCAGCAGUGGGAAAUAUUGCGCAAUGGGCGAAAGCCUGACGCAGCAACGCCGUGUGAGGGAUGAAGGCUUUCGGGUCGUAAACCUCUGUCGGAAGGGAAGAACGGGCAUUGGUCUAAUAGGCCUUUGUUUUGACGGUACCUUUAGAGGAAGCACCGGCUAACUCCGUGCCAGCAGCCGCGGUAAUACGGAGGGUGCAAGCGUUAUUCGGAAUUACUGGGCGUAAAGCGCACGUAGGCGGCCUUGUAAGUCAGGGGUGAAAUCCCACGGCUCAACCGUGGAACUGCCUUUGAAACUGCAGGGCUUGAAUCCUGGAGAGGGUGGCGGAAUUCCUGGUGUAGGAGUGAAAUCCGUAGAUAUCAGGAGGAACACCGGUGGCGAAGGCGGCCACCUGGACAGGUAUUGACGCUGAGGUGCGAAAGUGUGGGGAGCAAACAGGAUUAGAUACCCUGGUAGUCCACACCGUAAACGAUGGAUACUAGGUGUCGGGGACUUGAUCUUCGGUGCCGUAGCUAACGCGUUAAGUAUCCCGCCU
RNAcentral lists this ribosomal RNA (541 nucleotides) under Desulfomicrobium apsheronum. RNAcentral describes it as "bacterial SSU rRNA". It matches the Rfam family "Bacterial small subunit ribosomal RNA", at positions 340 to 874 of the family's 1533-position model. The record is from RNAcentral. Lineage: Bacteria; Pseudomonadati; Thermodesulfobacteriota; Desulfovibrionia; Desulfovibrionales; Desulfomicrobiaceae.